GGAGACGGCCACCGCAGGGUUGGCGGACUUGAGAAGGAGCAAAGAUGGCGGAGUUUUGAAUCAAAACGGUCUUGUCUUCAACCAGAAGAGAUUAUUCAAGUUCAGUUUGGAAUUAAGGUAUUUCUGUGUUGUCUCCUGAGUGAGGUUGUCUUGCUCCAAUUAUUGGGCCACCUUCCCCAUUAAAAUGUGGAUAUCUCUUCUCUACACAUUACCUCUGUGAUUUGGAUUGGAAAAGGCUGCUUUUCUUUUCGUUCCACCUUCUCAGAUUCAACACAGAGAAGCUCCUGGGAUGCAUUCAUCCUGCCAACUUCUCCAGGAAAAAAGAGGCAACUGACAUGCAUCUUCUGCUGCUCUUUGCUUAAUCACAAAGAAAUUAUUUGACAUGCUAAAGGCCGGUACCUAAUUUAAAGCAGGUGCUUAAAUGGUGAUAUCUGUGAGUUCUUUACAUUUUGUUCCAAACAAGAAAACUAAAUAAAUAGCAAGUAUGGAUGACAUGAGGGUUUUUUUUUUUUAAUGUCUUCCAGUUUUUGUCACCAUCAUGAUACGUACGCAUAGUUGAGACUGCAGCAGUAGAUUCCAAAUUAUGCGUUCUAAUUUGAAAUGAGAUGCUUUAAAAAUUACACAUAUCUAAAUCCUGGCUCAUCCUCUGACAUGGAUUUACUAGAUAAGAACAAAGGUCCAAUUUCGCAAUAAAACCUUUGAUGUCAUAAAGAAACAUAAAGACAAGAUAUCACAAGGUUAAUUUCAUAUGUGAAUAGACCAUCUCAACUAUAAAUACACAUUUUUACACGUGUAAAUCCACAUUUUUGGCUGAUAAGAGGGAUUUUCUCCUAAAGAAGGAAGCUGUGCUGACUUCUUUCUUAGAAGUCUUUGGAUACUUGGUAUUUUUAAAUUUUUUUUUUCCAUUCUGCUAAGGAAAGACCACAAUGUUUAGAUGGUAACCCUAUUGAAUGCCUGCUUGCGUUUAGUGAAAGGUUGGUAAAAGGAAACAAAACAGUUUUGAGUCCAGUGAUGGAACCCUCUUCACCUUCCUAGGAUGAGAGACUACUGUAUUGCAGAUUACUUCAUUCACUUUUUGGACAUUAUAUAGCACUUGAGACUUGGUUUUACAUGCUGCUGAGGCUGGAAGAAAAGUGGCAUAAGUGGUUUUUCUGUUCAGAAGAUGUGAUGGACCCUACAGUAUGACCUGCCUUCAACUUUGGACCUAGAGGAGUGGCAGAAAAAAUGAUGACAGUCUUCAUACUAUUUCUUUCUCCUAAGGAAAAAAAGUGAAAAUGCUUUAUGCAGCUCCAUCUCACUUUAUGGCACUUCACAUUCUACAGCUCUGUUUUCUGUAAAAGCAUAAAUGACUUCUUUCCUUUGACCCGGGAUAGGUUCUUGGGUGUUUGAUUUAUUUUUUUCUAGGCAAAUAGGUGUAAUGUUCGGCUGAAAAGGCUGGGACUCAGGUAACUUUCCCUAGUUGGAAAUGAACUUUCUAAUGGGCCUCAGAAGAAAUGUUAGGAGGGUCAGUGUAAAUUUAGAAGAAAAUCAGGGUAUGAAAAAAAACACUUAAACAAGAAAAAUAGUUCUAAUAAAUAAUAGUUUCCUCUCUGUUGAAACAUACUAUCUGAUGAAUGGACUAUCGCGUAAAGCUGUCCUUGCUUCCACAUCAACAAAGGACCGUUGUAUGAUUGGCCAGGUUUUUACAUAAGAAGAAUGACACCUUAAAUUAUAAGUCCUUGUGAGUAGAGAAAGAAUUUAAAGCUACUUAGAAGAAAUUACGAACAAGUCAUCUCAGAUCAUCUUUGUAAUAGAGGGAACGCCCCCAGGGCCAUACAUGCUGUGCUGCUGAAAUCUUGGGGAAGAUUUACCAGAAUUUGAGGGUAGUAGAAAUAGCCAAAAAUGUGAAAUACUGAGCACUCUUAAUGAUUAGUUAAGUUGGUCAACCAACUUGAAUUGGCAUUAAGAAAGCGUUUUAGUAAAAUAAAUAAUACAGAUAAAGCCUAAUUUCCUUUAAUUGAGGGCAAUUAUUGAGUAGUAAAGCACAGUAGAAGUAAUUUUGGAUAAAGGUAACUUAAAUUUUUCUGUAAGUAACUUCUCAGCCAUUUCCUGAUGUUUUCUUUCAGUAUUUUAGAAUCAUUAAAGACAAUGGAAACCUCCACACAUGAAUUCCAUUGCUGUGUUGAGCUUGUCAUAUAUAUUACCAUGGAGAAUUUGCAUCUUUACAGUUGUCUGUUAUCCAUCUUACCCAUGUUUGGGGGCAACUUUUUGGCAGGAGAUAGAGUCCCUGUACUAUUAGCAACAGUGAAACCGUCUCUACUUGUUUGAAUAUAUGUAUGUACCAGACUCAGCUUCUCCAGUUGCUUUAUAUAUUUUUGUUUCACAGUUAAGAGAAUGACUGUUUAAUGCUCUCUUUCAAGUUGUUUCUGCAUUUUCUAUGAUUUUCACCAGAUGGCAUUUAGCGCAAUGGGUAUAUUCCAGUUGUGCUUACCUAGCGUUUGCUUACAUCUACAUUGUUUUUUUCUGGUCUAUUUUUGGUUCCCUUCUUGAUGGCAAAGCUAUAAUUUUAGGCAGGACUGUGCCUCAGUCUAUAGCUGUGCCUACUUCCUUUACUCAUCCAUGUUAGCUGGCAGUUUUCUUUUAAAAAGUUGAACAAAAACGGGAUAUGUGCAAUAGAAAUAUAUAUAUGUAUAUUUUAAUACUUGUGGACAAAUGUUACAAGUUGUUUAAGAACAACAAAAUCACCAAUGUCUUCCAUUUUGAGAUGUGUAUAGUUUUGUAAGCAUUAGUGCUUGGUAGCAUAUUGUAGUGCCAUGUUAGGGGUUAGUGCAUGAGCCUAGUAAUAAUUUAAACUUCAGGAUGAAUUAUUGAUAAUAACUAAUAGUGUAAAAAGAGUGGAAAAUCUAGAUCUUUUCUUUUCUCAUAAAUAUCUGAAUCUGUGAUAUUCUCCCUGGGGAAAAGAGCUUAAGGCCAAAAAGACUCAUUUAUGAAUAGAAAUGUGGGGUCACAAUGUGAAAUACUGUCUUUGAGGAUAUUUGAGCUUUUUAUGAGUAGCUGGAAACCAGCUGCCUUUAUGUCUUACAAAACCUUAAUUCAAAAUGAGGCCCCAUUUCAUGACUCUGCUCUCUGAGUUUGAAGUCAGAUUGUUCUGGCAUUGUUUUCACGUUGUCUUCUAGGUUUAUUAUGUUCCCAUUCCUUUUGCAUCAGAUUAUAUUUUGCAUGUCUUACUGAGAUGCUGUGUUAAUUGCUCGAGUGCUUUUCUAAUCUGCAGACCAUUUAUGUUUCCUGUCUGCGGUGUGCUAUGUGUUAAUGGAAGAACUCUGGUCAGUGUCUUAGAUUAAUUUUUCACAGGCAUUUCCUGUUUCUAAAUCUGCUGAAUUGUGUACUGUUGCGAUUCCAGACCUUUUCAUGAGAAUCAGAAACAUUGUUAAAUGGAGCCUGCCUAGAUUGCUGUGUAUUAACUAACUCUGCUUGGUUAUAGUAAAUUGCCUCAGAUAGCUUUCACAUUUUUCUACUUUCCUUGUAGAAAUAAAAGUUGUUUUGUUCUGAAAGCAAAGAUAUUCCUACCUCUAAAAAGCUUUCUUGAGAACUCUGAAACAGUAGUUUUCUAGGGUGAUUUUUAAAUUUCAGUAUUAGGAGAGUCUAGAAUUUAUUGACAUAGAUUCUACAGUUAGUAUGAUAGGAAAGGCAAAACUUUUUUUAAAUUAUUUUAUUGGAGUAUAGUUGACUUAAAUGUCAUGUUAGCUUCAGGUUACAGCAAAGUGAAUCAUUUAUGCAAAACUUUUUUAAUGUGGUGUGUCACAUGUGCAGAAGUAGGCUUAAACAAAUUGACUCUUGGGCAACAGAUCUCCAGGGACCCAGGUUUAGAUUCUCAUGGUGUACUUAAAGUAAUUGUACUCUUGGUUUCAAGUAGUGUAGUGCCUGGGAGACUCCAUUUCUGAAAACCAUUUAAACAUUUUUGAAAAAUACCUCUGAAAAGGUAAUGAAUGCAAAAUAGCACAGUAUAUAGGAAAGGAUGUUUCUUGUUGAAAAAAAAAAAAGCCAUAAAACAAACUAAUAAUUUUCAAGAGGUAGAAUUUUAGUAGCAAUAACAGUUUUGCAUGUCACGUUAGAUUGUAUAGUAGACUACUGCUUGAGUUUGUGAGGCUCUGAUCAACAGAGUUCCAUGAAAGGAAAACGAUGUUCUAGGUAAAGAGUAUAUAAAAGGUACUUUCUCUUAAAAAUAUGAAUGUGUGAAAUGUCAUUAUGUGAGAAAUAGCAUCUUUUGUGUAAGUUAAGGUUAAAACCGUAUUUGUUUCCUAGAGCAGAGGGGUAGCGCCAUUGAAUGAAACUUUUCUAAUGCUUAACCUGGAAACAAAUGUGCUGCUACUGAUGUAGUCCCACUGAAGCUCAUCAUGUAGGGAUUUUGCUUCUGAUGUUUAUUUAGCAACAGGCAUUUAUAAAAUGACAUACUCUUUGCUUUGUCACCUCAUCUUUCUCCAUUAGUUUCCUGGGUGUGUAUAUAGUUAGGAUUUUUAAAAGGAAAAAAAAAAAAAAAAAAAAAAACCCAAAAACUGGGAAACCUGUCGGGAAGUUAGGAUCUAAAGGUGUAAAGCAAAAGUAUUGAAGGGAAUAGCCAAAGACAACAGUUGUUUUUUUAAACUUUCUCUAAUGUAGCAGGGCUGAGGCCUUCGGCCUAUGACUGCUUAUUUUAACAAGAACCCAGCAAACUGUUUCUCAAUCUGAGGAAACACACAGCUCUCACAUCAGGAUAUAAUAGUAGAAUAAGGGUGACUUCUUACUCCCUUUUACCUCGUGUUCAUCUUGGCUAUUUAGCACCUUGAAGAUCCCUAAAAAUACUGGGUCUGUGUUCCCUUGUUUUCCCAGGGGAAAAAACUGCAAGUGGAGUGGAUCUGAGAAAAUAGUGCCUCUUGAAUAUUAAAUUCUUUUAUGGCAACUCCAAAGGAUAGAGAGAAAUUGAUUAUAGCUCCUCUUUAAAUGUCCUAUGCCAUCAGGUGGUGUUAGAGACAUUGAGAUAACCAAGCAAUAUUUCAGACAUCUGCACGAUCAUGAGGACAUCACUGCAUGUUACAGUGAUGUCAGCAGUUUAGUUACUUAGAACAAUUAAAAGUUACUCUUAACAGCCACGUUAAUAGUUCUAAAUGCUCUAAUGAGCUACAAGUUUUUGUAGUCUCAGAGUAUGUGUUGGAUUACUUUUCAAUGUUAUGGUCUCAUGUUUACCCUUUGUGUACCUGUGAUAUGCAAAAUAUGAAGAGACCCUUGGCCUCCAGGAGUUUACAUUCUCAUGGUGCUGCUGGUGCAAGCAAAUUGCUUCUAGUUUAUUCAGAACAUUGUUUGGCUGUUAAUUAUACCAUAUUUGGAAGGAUUUCUUGGCCAACAGUUUUCAGAAGCAGAGGGCUAUGCUAUACUUCAGGGCAUUGAUUUUGAGUUUACAUUGUAUUAGCUUUGCUAUUCAUAAACUCCUUUUCCCCAGGGAGCUGUGCAGGUAAUGCUCAUUAAUGUGAAUCAGAGAAAAAAAAAAGAAAAAA
Molecule: long non-coding RNA, 5507 nt
Filed under: Sus scrofa (pig)
Lineage: Eukaryota; Metazoa; Chordata; Mammalia; Artiodactyla; Suidae
Description: lncRNA (ENSSSCG00005038129.1)
Source: RNAcentral